RNAcentral lists this ribosomal RNA (253 nucleotides) under uncultured bacterium. RNAcentral's name for it is "partial 16S ribosomal RNA". It matches the Rfam family "Bacterial small subunit ribosomal RNA", at positions 524 to 776 of the family's 1533-position model. The record is from RNAcentral.
UACGUAGGGGGCCAGCGUUGCUCGGAAUUACUGGGCGUAAAGGGUUCGUAGGCGGUGCGGCAAGUUGGGAGUGAAAUCUCUGGGCUUAACCCAGAGGCUGCUUUCAAAACUGCCGCGCUCGAGUGCGAGAGAGGUCAGUGGAAUUGCAGGUGUAGCGGUGAAAUGCGUAGAUAUCUGCAGGAACACCCGUGGCGAAGGCGGCUGACUGGAUCGCAACUGACGCUGAGGAACGAAAGCUAGGGGAGCAAACAGG